This 253-nucleotide ribosomal RNA is filed under the name uncultured bacterium. RNAcentral describes it as "partial 16S ribosomal RNA". It matches the Rfam family "Bacterial small subunit ribosomal RNA", at positions 524 to 776 of the family's 1533-position model. The record is from RNAcentral.
GACAGAGGGUGCAAACGUUGUUCGGAAUUACUGGGCGUAAAGCGAGUGUAGGCGGUCCGAUAAGUCGGGUGUGAAAGCCCUGGGCUCAACCCAGGAAGUGCACUCGAUACUGUCGGGCUAGAGUAUCGGAGAGGUUGGUGGAAUUCUCGGUGUAGAGGUGAAAUUCGUAGAUAUCGAGAGGAACACCGAUGGCGAAGGCAGCCUCCUGGGCCAAUACUGACGCUCAUGCACGAAAGCGUGGGGAGCAAACAGG